RNAcentral lists this ribosomal RNA (605 nucleotides) under Hypocreales sp. Vl-1. Its description in RNAcentral is "LSU rRNA". It matches the Rfam family "Eukaryotic large subunit ribosomal RNA", at positions 37 to 667 of the family's 3401-position model. Lineage: Eukaryota; Fungi; Ascomycota; Sordariomycetes; Hypocreales. The record is from RNAcentral.
UGCAUAUCAAUAAGCGGAGGAAAAGAAACCAACAGGGAUUGCCCCAGAAACGGCGAGUGAAGCGGCAACAGCUCAAAUUUGAAAUCUGGCCCUUGGGUCCGAGUUGUAAUUUGUAGAGGAUGCUUUUGGCGAGGUGCCUUCCGAGUUCCCUGGAACGGGACGCCAUAGAGGGUGAGAGCCCCGUCUGGUCGGACACCGAGCCUCUGUAAAGCUCCUUCGACGAGUCGAGUAGUUUGGGAAUGCUGCUCAAAAUGGGAGGUAUAUGUCUUCUAAAGCUAAAUAUUGGCCAGAGACCGAUAGCGCACAAGUAGAGUGAUCGAAAGAUGAAAAGCACUUUGAAAAGAGGGUUAAAAAGUACGUGAAAUUGUUGAAAGGGAAGCGCCUAUGACCAGACUUGGGCCCGGUGAAUCAUCCAGCGUUCUCGCUGGUGCACUUUGCCGGGCACAGGCCAGCAUCAGUUUGGCGCGGGGGAAAAAGGCUUUGGGAAUGUGGCUCCCUCGGGAGUGUUAUAGCCCAUUGUGUAAUACCCUGCGCCGGACUGAGGUACGCGCAUUGCAAGGAUGCUGGCGUAAUGGUCAUCAGCGACCCGUCUUGAAACACGGACC